AGAGGAUGUAAACACUGGGGCUCACGUGGUCCGUCCUCAGGUGGAGGGAGGCCGCCUCCGUGCCCAACUGGCUGAGGGGAGCCUCACGUGAUCUGGGGAUAGACUCCGCCCUGCAACCCAAAGGACCAAUCAGGGGAUGAAGCUUGUGUGUCGUCACCCGUCGCCUAGGGGCGUUAAGCACCGACGAAGCAGCCACCCCUCCACCCCCAAGUCCCGUGUCUAUCAAAGGGGCAGGCAGGCGGGGCGCGGCGCUGCCUAGUGCAGCUGGCGGAGGGUGACGAACUCUCACCCGUCGGGAGCCACCGCCCGUCGCCCCAGAGCUGCAGCAAGGCCCUGCUGCCCCUGGCACCGGGGCUCGAUGCAGGGAGCAGGCACAAGGGGGAGCAGGUUCCAGAGAAGUGUGUUCAGAGGUCCAUGGUAAUGUUUCCUGCAGGAACUAUACCACAGUGAGGGGAAUCUGAAGAUCUCAGGUGUGAAGAGGAUUGGUUAAUAAGACUAAUGAUUUCACUAUAUCAUUAGAUAAUGAAUUACACCCUCUCACUGACUGCUACUAACUUCUCCCUGCAAGAGUUGACUCAUCUCUGGAUCCCAUUAAGACCGCUUCUGAAAAGCGAAUAUUUGCCUUUGGAGUGGUCCAACAGGAACCAAGUGAAAUCAGAAUGCAGCUAGAGUAAGGUGUUUUUUCUAAAAGUUUCUCCUUGAUGUUUACACUCUUUCUAUACUGUUACAGCCUUUGCUUUAUUUAAUGCACAGUAUACACAGUUCCAUCUAUCCCCAUAAUUAUUUUGCUUAUUUCUGAUCUCUUUUGACCUGUCAGCAUCUGUCUGGUAUUUAUGAAGACUUCAAAUAAUAUAUCUGGCCUAUCCACCCACUCAUAAUUUUAAAAUGAAUGCAGUUUCAACACAGUCAUCAAAGCCAAGGUCUCAUUUGCUGACCUAUGCUGGGUAACUCCAGUAGAACCACAAUUUUGUGAACUCCAGUCUUAUGAAUGACUGGCUAUAUGAUCCAUUUUGCCUGACAGAAAAAAGAAACAAAACAAAAUAUAGCAAAAGUGAUGUUGAUGAAGAACAAGUUGACAUCUCUUCACCUUCUGGUGCCUUAAGUGCAUUAAAAAUCACUUUGUAGUGGUUUGAAGGACAAGAAGAAAGUGAUGCAGUGCACUAUACUGCAACUGAUGCAUCAUACCUGCUGUAAUUCUGAGAUGUUCAAUCUUAAAUCUUUGAUUUUAAGAGCUCCUCAAUCCCCUAUUAGUUCAUAAAAUAGUGAUUUUUCUGUAAGCAGGAGGCCAAGAUCUCCUACUAUUUUCCCUAGAGUAUAUACCUCCAGUGUUCUGAGUAUCAUUCUAGCUCAAAUAGUUUCUAGUGCCCAAGCCUGUUCCUAGUGAUGCUAAUGGCAAAACUCUUUUCCUUUCAGUGGGGAAGGGAAGAAUGAAACCUUCAGUGUCAAACCUCUGAGAAUAGCUGCUAAUUGGUCAUGUUUUCUAGACCUUUAAUUCAUGCUGGCUGUAUCAAUACGUUGAUUUGCUUCUACCUCAGGAGCCAUUUAUCCGAGGCUUGGAAGUUAAAAGAAUUUUUCACAAGAAACAAAUAUUUCCUGACUAGCGCUUCGAAAUACCAUCUGCAUGCAGAACUGUUCAAGAUGCACAUUCAAGGCAGGCCAGAUGGUAACACUUACUCAUGCUGGAUACUUUACACCAGGAUUAGUCCCAUGAAGUCAAUGGAGCAACUUGUGGAAUAACAAACUCCAGAAGUAGCCGCAUUACAGUGUAACAACACAAGCUCAGAUUUGCAGUCAUGCUAUCAAGACACAGUGCUCUUCAGUAGUUUCCUUUCUGGAGAAGGAAACAGGAGCCUGACAAGUGUAAGAGGUAUGCAGUGUUAUAGCUAUCUUGGCCCCAGUAUAUUAGAGAGACAAGGUGGGUGAUCAUUAUUGUACCAACCUCUGUUGAUGAGAGAGAGACAAGCUUUCAAGCUUACACAGAUCUCUUCUUCAGACCUGAAAAUAUUACCUCAUCCAUCUUGUCUCACUUAGUGUAAUGUUGGUUUGUUUUUUAAAGUGACCUAGCAAUUGUUCCUGAGGAUGGGCAGUGUGAUCUCUUUCAUGGGAGUGGAUUCUGUGAAGUUUUGAGUCCUGCUUGAUCAAUGAAUAAAAGGCACUGGCUGACUGGUUAUUUGAGUGAAAAAUAAAGGCUUGUGACUGCUA
Molecule: long non-coding RNA, 2202 nt
Organism: Dermochelys coriacea (leatherback sea turtle)
Lineage: Eukaryota; Metazoa; Chordata; Testudines; Dermochelyidae
Exons: 6
Source: RefSeq, a predicted model, not a curated record